AGGCGGCCCGGCGCGCCCCAUUCGCGAUGGGCACCCCAUCUUCCUCCUGGAAAAGCCGGGGGACACAGAGAAGGCGGAGGAGCACGCGGGGUGCAGGAGAGCCUACCAGCCCCUUUAGCCGCAGUGCUGGUGAUUCCGGCCGCUGAACCCGGAGAGGAAAGGCUCCCACGCGGCCAGCCGGCCUUGACUGUCCUCUCGCCCUGCCCUUGGCCGCAGUACCCUCCCCUCGGCUGCAGUAACCGCCCCCUACACCUCCAGGCAAGGGCACGCUCAGUGUAGACCACUGCCACUUCAUAGAUGCCAGUGCCACUUAAGAGUGGUGUUGGGUUUUUUUUUUUUCCUUUCCUCCUCUCUGCACACCAGCACAUUGUACCCGAGAGAAACUCACGGCGGUGCACUGCAGACACCGCCCAGCUCCAGGGCCCGAAGACCCUCCGACCAGGCCCCGGGAUGCCUGAGGUCUCCCAGGUCAUUACGUGGAGGAACUCAGGCCUGCUCCCUGCGCAGGAGGAGGAGGCGUCGCGGGAGCUGCAGUCCCCGAUCCUUCCCAGGAAGCCGGCCGGGUGGAAGGGGAGAGGGCCGUUAUCGUGGUGCGAAUCCAACUCGCAGCCUCUGGGAGCACGUUGCUAAUAAAGGUCAAAUUAAAACAACUAAGUGGUGCCGGCAGGGACGCGCCGCAUGGUCAGGAGAAGCCCGGCUAUUAAUCAUCCAUAAGGAGCAUUGCUCUUCUGGUGUGGGAGAAUGGGGCUGUGCGACAGCCCCCCGGAGUUGCGCUCUGCUCUGAACCCUAAGCUCCCCCAGAGCAAGUGGAUUGCGCAGCCUAUUACCCCACCUCCCCACGGCCCCCUCUUGGGGCGGCACCACCCUAGAUGGCAGGAAUUCGGAGAAAAUGCGGUGUCACGUCCGCCGCUAUGCCCGCACACGCGUCUGCGCCAACUCCAGCAACACGUGGGGACCGUGAAUCUGGGCGUCUGCUCUCCACUUAGGUGGUUAUGUGGGUAUACUUAUAUGAUUACUGAUUAAAACCAAAUUGGACGGAGAA
This 1042-nucleotide long non-coding RNA is filed under the name Homo sapiens (human). Its description in RNAcentral is "non-protein coding lnc-ANO10-5:2". The record is from RNAcentral. Lineage: Eukaryota; Metazoa; Chordata; Mammalia; Primates; Hominidae.